AUUUUUUCGUGUUUAUUAAAAAUGAUUUCUGCUCAAUGUUGAAUAAAUGGCCGCGGUAUUUUGACUGUGCAAAGGUAGCAUAAUAAUUAGUCUUGUAAUUUAAGACUGGGAUGAAAGGAUGGACUAGAAAAUGUCUUUCUUAAUUAUUUAUUUUUAAUUUUACUUUUUAGUAAAAAGGCUAAAAUAUUUCUUUUAGACGAGAAGACCCUAUAAAACUUUACAUAAAAGGGUUUAAUAAACUAUGAAUAUGUUUUGCUGGGGCGGCAGAAAGAUAAAACACUUUCAAAUUUUGAAAAUAUUAUUAUUUUGAUACCCAAAACUUUUGAAGAUUAAAUAAGUUACUUUAGGGAUAACAGCGUAAUAUACUUUAAGAGUUCUAAUUGACAAGUAUGUUUGCGACCUCGAUGUUGGAUUAAAUUUCCUUUACUGCGCAAGAGCAAUAAUAGGAGGUCUGUUCGACCUAUAAUAGAUUUCCA
RNAcentral lists this ribosomal RNA (476 nucleotides) under Centruroides gracilis. RNAcentral's name for it is "partial 16S ribosomal RNA". It matches the Rfam family "Bacterial large subunit ribosomal RNA", at positions 1888 to 2600 of the family's 2925-position model. Lineage: Eukaryota; Metazoa; Arthropoda; Arachnida; Scorpiones; Buthidae. The record is from RNAcentral.